UUAGAAAGUUAAUUGAAUAGAGCUCAUUAUAAAUUUCUAUCAAUAUUCUGUAAAAUAUUCAGCGUUGGAAAACUGUACUCGCGACGCAGGAUCCCAAUUACACCGAGCACGAAAGUGUGACGUUACAAACCUAUCAAAUGUGGAGCUAGAGCGAGCCGAGACGAGAGAUGUUCUGUGCGUGUAUCUGUUUAUUGUAGCAAUUAAUAUCCAUUUCAAGGACUGUGUUCGAUAACGUCGAAGGACUAAACCGAUUUCUGUUUGGAACUACUGGAGAAUUGCGAUAGACAUACAUUAGACUUUAGUUAGACUCAGUUUUGUGUAUAAUAAGUAUAGCAACAGGAGGGAAAGAAGUGGCCUAUGACGAGCAGAAGAAAGAAGGAAAAGAUAAAGAUCAGGAAGAAGAAAAGCUAAAGACCUUUAUAGAGAAAUAAAAAAAGGUAGAGCAGGAACAGACCAAAGAUGUCAAAGCAGCUGCACUCCAUACCAGACAGAAGACAGCACAGAUAUGAAAAAUGAACAUCUCAAGCACCCAAAAGAAUUGAGAAAAGACUGGAAAAUCUGGAAAAGAAACAAGCAACCUCUACUAAUCCCAGUUUUGGUUACAAACGAUCCAGACGGUUAAGAACCUGUGCAGAUUUUACUGGUGAUGGUGGAGAAGCAAGGCAACUUGCUAUUAACAAUUUGUGUGUACAUUGUUCUUUUCCUGUGAAGACAACUAAUAGGUUUCGUAUACAUUUAGAAUCAAAUGAAGUGAAAUUCAUCUGAAUAAUAGACGAAUCAGUAGGGACUUUUAUAAUAGAGCAGCUGAUUAACUUCCGGACAGGGAUGGGGUCAAUUACAAUGGAAAGUAAUUAAUUAAAUUACAAUUACUUGCUUAAAUUCUUCAAUUAAAUUACCAUUAGCAUUACAAGAGAUUUCAAAUGUAAUUAAUUAAAUUGCAAUUACUUUGCAAAAGUAAUUAAUUAAAUUACAAAUUACAUUUUCAUCAAAAUUUACUAAAUCCAUGAUUUAUCUACAACACAUAAACAUGUA
Long non-coding RNA from Magallana angulata, 1032 nucleotides. RefSeq lists it as uncharacterized. The record is from RefSeq and is a predicted model, not a curated record. NCBI's taxonomy places the organism in Eukaryota, Metazoa, Mollusca, Bivalvia, Ostreida, Ostreidae. The transcript is spliced from 4 exons.